RNAcentral lists this ribosomal RNA (440 nucleotides) under uncultured bacterium. RNAcentral's name for it is "partial 16S ribosomal RNA". It matches the Rfam family "Bacterial small subunit ribosomal RNA", at positions 338 to 795 of the family's 1533-position model. The record is from RNAcentral.
CCUACGGGUGUCUGCAGUCGAGAAUCAUUCACAAUGGGGGAAACCCUGAUGCAGCGACGCCGCGUGAGUGAAGAAUUCUUUCGGUAUGUAAAGCUCUAUCAGCAGGGAAGAAAAUUACGGUACCUGAUUACUUCUCCCCGUCUAACUACGUGCCAGCAGCCGCGGUAAUACGUAGGGGGCAAGCGUUAUCCGGAUUUACUGGGGGUAAAGGGAGCGUAGACGGCAGCACAAGUCUGUCGUGAAAUGCCGGGGCUUAACCCCGGAACUGCUUUGGAAACUGUGAAGCUAGAGUGCAGGAGAGGGAAGUGGAAGUCGUAGUGUAGCGGUGAAAUGCGUAGAUAUUAGGAGGAACACCAGUGGCGAAGGCGGCUUACUGGACUGUAACUGACGUUGAGGCUCGAAAGCGUGGGGAGCAAACAGGAUUAGAUACCCUUGUAGUC